RNAcentral lists this long non-coding RNA (942 nucleotides) under Solanum tuberosum (potato). Its description in RNAcentral is "long non-coding RNA (STUB_LNC003301)". The record is from RNAcentral. Lineage: Eukaryota; Viridiplantae; Streptophyta; Magnoliopsida; Solanales; Solanaceae.
UUCUCCUUAAGAGCUUCCAUUUCAGGUUCCUCCUCUUCAAUUGCUGUUUUUUCAACUUUCUCUUCAACAACUAGCUCUUCAGAUGUAUCUUCAACCGUUGGUUCUUCAGGUUUCUCUUCAAGUGCUAGUUCUUCAGGUGUUUCUAUUGCUGCCGGUUCUUGAGGUUUCUCUUCAGUCUCUGGUUCUUGAGGUUUCUCCUCAGCUGGUACUUCAGAUUUCUCCUCAAAUGUUGGUUUCUCCUCAACUGCUGGUACAUCAGGUUUCUCUUCAAUGACUAGUUCUUCAUUUUUUAUUUCAACUGCCGGUUCUUCAGAAUUUUCCUCAAUGUCUGGAGAGUGAGCAACAUCAUUAUUGGUAUUGCAUGGAAUUUCACUGCCAGUUUUGGUGUUCGAGUCUACAAUUAGCAUAUUCUGCAAAAAGACUUUAAUGUUUCACUUAGCCUUUCAAAAGAAGAGCAUGUGAAUCACUGUACAUGCAUAACUAACAAAAUGGAUAUACUUUGUGAUAGUACUUGACCCUUACCUUUUCCAAAAGAGUUACCUUUUCAGGUUUCUCCUCUUUCAUUGCUGGCUCUUUAUGUAUCUCUUCUAAUGCUAGUUCCUUGGGUGUUUCUUCAGUUACUUGUUUAUCAGGUUUCUCCUCAAUUUUUGGUUCUUUGAUCGUCUCCUCAACUGAUGGUUCUUCAAGCUUUUCUCCCACUGUUGGUGUUUCAGGUUUCUCUUCGAUUGUCGGUUGUUCAGGUAUUUUCUCAACCGGUGGUUCUUCUGGUUUCUCCAAAACCCUUGAUUCUUCAGAUUUCUCUUCAAUAGCUGAUUCUUCAGAUAUCUCUUCAACUUCUGGUUCUUCAGUAUUUUCCUCAACUGAUGCAUAGUCAGCAAUGUCAUUGUUGGUAUUGCAUGGAAUUGCAUUGUCUGUUGUGUUCUUUGAGUUUACAAUUGGCAA